This is a long non-coding RNA of Coregonus clupeaformis (lake whitefish), 100 nucleotides long. RefSeq lists it as uncharacterized. The record is from RefSeq and is a predicted model, not a curated record. Lineage: Eukaryota; Metazoa; Chordata; Actinopteri; Salmoniformes; Salmonidae. The transcript is spliced from 3 exons.
UGAGACAGAGAUCCACUUCAUCCUUCCAACAGGCAAGCAAGUCCAGUGGAAUUGUACCCUUCCAGUGUCCUACUGCAAAGCAGACCUUGAUGAAUCUUCG